RNAcentral lists this long non-coding RNA (2331 nucleotides) under Helianthus annuus (common sunflower). RNAcentral describes it as "hypothetical non coding rna". Lineage: Eukaryota; Viridiplantae; Streptophyta; Magnoliopsida; Asterales; Asteraceae. The record is from RNAcentral.
GGAGUAGGGCUAUAAAUGAGAAACAAUACUGUGACAGCCACCUAGCACCUUUCUACAGAAUCGAGCUUAUGACGAGUAGCGAGGAUGAUCACUAUAUAAGUGGUGGUUCAAGUAUACAUCUGUCAUGUUAAAUGGCCGCAGAUUAAUUUGUGGUAACAUCAUGACUCAUGCUUUUACAACAAGGUUGUUUCAGAAGCCAAAGUGGAGAAGCCAAAGUGGAGCAUUUCUGAUUCAAGCGGAAUUAGUGAACUUUCAAGCGGAAUCAGUGAUUUUGGAGCGGAAUAUAAUUUCGCUUGAACAUAGACAAUUUCAAGCGGAAUAAGGUGUAUUUCAAGCGAAAUAAGGCACUUUCAAGCAGAAUAUGCUUUUUCAUGCGGAAUCAAGUUGAACUUUCAAGCGGAAUCAGGCUGUUUACACGAGAUCGGACCUAAAAACUCAGAUUUCUCCUAAACGGCUAGGAAUUAGGAGCUGAAACUUGGUAGGGUUAUAGAUCAGGUGUUUUCGCAAAACAUAUUAAAAAAUCAUGAAUUUUUUACCGUAAAAACCCGUUCAAUUUGACGAUUUUCAGUGAAAAAGUGAUAAAAAUGAAAAAGAUGAAGAAAUAGAUGAAAUUCGGAUCUGAAAUCAAUGAAAUCUGCUAGGAAUCUAUGUGUUUGAUCAGUGCAAUCGAGCUCCUGCUCUUAUACCACUUGUAGGAUCGGUUUUGACACCGUACGAUUGCGUAACGAACGUGUAACGUGCGGAAUCCGUACACGAACGUGACCGAACACACAAGAACGUACUAUAACCGUGAUUCAAUUGAUUAUGACGAGUACAAAGUGCCGAGAAUCACGUGAGGGAACAUUCUCUCUAUAGACUUUCUCUCUCUAAGAUUCGCUCUCUAAUUCCCAAAUGAGCAAAAGUCUUAAACUCUACCACUAACUCCUCUAUUUAUAGGCCAAGGGAUAUAAUGAGAAAUCUCAUUAUUUACAAAAUUGCCACCUUGCCUUUACUACAUACUACAAUGUAAGCACUAGAUUUAAACAGUUUCAGCUACGACUCGCAUUGACGGAGGCAAUAGACAUAUACUGCACUAACAAUAUCAACCUUCAUUUUAGAUUUCUAUAUUUUGCUUUAAUUCCAUUUACCCUACAUGUCUGAUGCAACUACCCGCAAAGGUUUUUAUGUGUAUGAUGAUAAACGCAAAGCGAGUCUUGAUACCGAAAUAAAGAAGUAAAUCGAUAAAGCAAGGUAAAUUCCUGGCAUCCCAGUUGAUCCUAAUAGGGAUGAGCAUGUUACCCGUUCGAUACCGAAAAGAAGGGAAAAUUGGUACCGGUAUCGGUACCAUUUAUCGGGGAAAAUGGGUACUGGUACCACAUAUACCUGGUACGGUUCGGUAUCGGUACCCGGUACCAAAUGCUCAUCCCUAAAUUCUAAGGUAUUUACUAUUCAUUCACGUCACUAAUUUCUAAACAGUUAUAAAUAUCUCCAAACGAUGCAACGAUAUGGAAACUCGAGUAAUUAGUUUGUGACAACCAAUGUCUUCACACGAUAUGAUGAGUAAAGUUCAGAAUCCUACAUUUUUGAAGAGUGUGAAAGAAAGUGUAUAAGUUUAUAACUAAUUAGGUUUGAUUUUGUUUCAGCUGGGGAAAUUACCAGAUAAAGACAUAAUAGAAAUGGUGUUUUUUCCUGUUGUGAAUGAGGCGUUUAGAGUAUAUGCAGGGGUAUUACAGUAAAAACAUCCGAUUUGGAUAUCGAUGGUGUUAUGGGAAUGGAAUUUCCACCUUACAGAUUCUUUUUCAUCUUUUGAUCAAAACUUUUUUUUUUAAUUUUAAUUUUAGUUUUGAAUAUCAACAUGUGUUUUGUACAGGGGAGUGAUUAUGUUAAGGGGAGAUUUGGUUGGAUCUAAGUACAUUCAUAGGAGGUUGAAUGAGUGGUGAAUGAUGUACGGGGUUCUUCAAGCCGUGCAACUAUUUGGCUCAGAGAGUUGCACAUGGGGCUCCUUUGGUGCUUGAUGUCAACCAGAUGAAUGGCCUUACAACUGAUCCACAAAUGCUUGAUGUCGCUUCAAAUAACGUCAGAAGGGAGGCAUCCACCAUCUCCCAUAAUGUCAGUGAAACAAGUUAUUUCUUCUCUUUAUUUAGUUGAUUAUUUUGAAUGGGUUAUUGUGCUUAAGGCUCUUAUAUGUACUUCAUGUUGUUUUGUUAUCAAAUUUGGUUCAGUAACCAACAAUCCAUAGCCUAUCUGUUUGUUUAAAUUAGAUCGGACAUGCUUCGAUGAACUUCAUGUUGUUUUGUUGGAUUAGAUAUGAAAAAACUUCUUUACUUGCAAAAAAAACCCAUUUUAAUAAUU